RNAcentral lists this ribosomal RNA (468 nucleotides) under uncultured bacterium. RNAcentral's name for it is "partial 16S ribosomal RNA". It matches the Rfam family "Bacterial small subunit ribosomal RNA", at positions 28 to 507 of the family's 1533-position model. The record is from RNAcentral.
GACGAACGCUGGCGGCGUGCUUAACACAUGCAAGUCGAAUGGAAAGGCCCUGCUUUUGUGGGGUGCUCGAGUGGCGAACGGGUGAGUAACACGUGAGUAACCUGCCCUUGACUUUGGGAUAACUUCAGGAAACUGGGGCUAAUACCGGAUAGGAGCUCCUGCUGCAUGGUGGGGGUUGGAAAGUUUCGGCGGUUGGGGAUGGACUCGCGGCUUAUCAGCUUGUUGGUGGGGUAGUGGCUUACCAAGGCUUUGACGGGUAGCCGGCCUGAGAGGGUGACCGGCCACAUUGGGACUGAGAUACGGCCCAGACUCCUACGGGAGGCAGCAGUGGGGAAUAUUGUACAAUGGGCGGAAGCCUGAUGCAGCAACGCCGCGUGCGGGAUGACGGCCUUCGGGUUGUAAACCGCUUUCGCCUGUGACGAAGCGUGAGUGACGGUAAUGGGUAAAGAAGCACCGGCUAACUACGUG